This 229-nucleotide ribosomal RNA is filed under the name uncultured bacterium. RNAcentral's name for it is "partial 16S ribosomal RNA". It matches the Rfam family "Bacterial small subunit ribosomal RNA", at positions 568 to 796 of the family's 1533-position model. The record is from RNAcentral.
UGCGUAGGCGGAACUUUAAGUCAGUGGUGAAAUCCUGCGGCUCAACCGUAGAACUGCCAUUGAUACUGAUGUUCUUGAAUGCAGUUGAGGUAGGCGGAAUGUGUAAUGUAGCGGUGAAAUGCUUAGAUAUUACACAGAACACCGAUUGCGAAGGCAGCUUGCUAAACUGUGAUUGACGCUGACGCACGAAAGCGUGGGGAGCGAACAGGAUUAGAUACCCUGGUAGUCC